Long non-coding RNA from Oncorhynchus tshawytscha (Chinook salmon), 1601 nucleotides. NCBI's taxonomy places the organism in Eukaryota, Metazoa, Chordata, Actinopteri, Salmoniformes, Salmonidae. The record is from Ensembl.
AGUACAUAUCAGAGUUCACUGUUACUGUAAUCUGAGGUGGCAGCAGUACAUAUCAGAGUUCACUGUUACUGUAAUCUGAGGUGGCAGCAGUACAUAUCAGAGUUCACUGUUACUGUAAUCUGAGGUGGCAGCAGUACAUAUCAGAGUUCACUGUUACUGUAAUCUGAGGUGGCAGCAGUACAUAUCAGAGUUCACUGUUACUGUAAUCUGAGGUGGCAGCAGUACAUAUCAGAGUUAUUGUAAUAAUCUCACAAGGAAGCGUUGCACAAUAAAUAACCAGACGACAAUCAUUUCUACUAGGUACCAGGUAGCUAGACCUCAUAGUGAAACAGAGAGAGGCAGUUUAAACUGGCAUUUAAGAAAAACUAAACAAUAGAUAUUAGGCGUUCAGUAAGGUGUCCUUAGUCCUGAUAAUGUUUGUACUAGUUAGUAUAAUUCUCAACAAAAGAAAAUGGCUUAUUGUUGUUCAUGAGCAUUUAUCUAAUCAACCACUAUUUCAGUGUUGUUUCACAUUGAGGUGGUCUUUUCGUGGUCUUUUGAUUGUGGGGAUGGUUCAUUUUCUGGUGUAGUGUAGCAUGGAGCGUCAUGCACCACAAUGCAGUCUAUUUAUACACUGAGGGGUUGUGUGUUACUGCAAAGCAUGCUGGGAUCAACAUGAAGAAAUACACUACCUUUUAGAAUCUAAGAAAUCAGACAUUACCCCCUCUCUCUCUCACUCUCCUCUCUCACUCUCACUCCCUCUCUCCCUCCCUCUCCUUCUCUCACGCUGUCCCUCUCUCUCCCUCGCUCACGCUGUCCCUCUCUCACGCUGUCCCUCGCUCUCACGCUGUCCCUCUCUCACGCUGUCCCUCGCUCUCACGCUGUCCCUCUUUUCUUCGCUCUCUCACGCUGUCCCUCCCUCGCUCCCUCUCCUUCUCUCACUCUGUCUCUCCCUCCCUCUCUCUCCCUUUCUCACGCUCUCUCGCUGUCCCUCUCUCUCCUUCGCUCUCUCCCUCUCACACUGUCCCUCUCUCUCACACUGUCCCUCUCUCACGCUGUCCCUCUCUCUCACGCUGUCCCUCUCUCACGCUGUCCCUCUCUCUCACGCUGUCCCUCUCUCACGCUGUCCCUCUCUCUCACGCUGUCCCUCUCUCACGCUGUCCCUCCCUCGCUCCCUCUCCUUCUCUCACUCUGUCUCUCCCUCCCUCUCUCUCCCUUUCUCACGCUCUCUCGCUGUCCCUCUCUCUCCUUCGCUCUUUCCCUCUCACACUGUCCCUCUCUCUCACACUGUCCCUCUCUCACGCUGUCCCUCUUUCUCACGCUGUCCCUCUCACGCUGGUCUCUCCCUCCUCUCUCUCCUUUCUCACCUUGUCCCUCUCUCUCCCUCUCUCUCGCUGUCCCUCUCUCUCACGCUGUCCCUCUCUCUCCCUCUCCACGCUGUCCCUCUCUCUCACACGGUCUCUCCCUCCCUCUCUCUCCCUUUCUCACACUGUCCCUCUCUCUCACGCUGUCCCGCUCUCUCCCUCUCACGCUGUCCCUCUCUCUCACGCUGUCUCUCUCCAUUUCUCACGCUGUCCCUCUCUCUCACGCUGUCCCUCCCUCUCUCACGCUGUCCCUCUCUC